AUUGAACGCUGGCGGCAUGCCUUACACAUGCAAGUCGAACGGCAGCACGGGUGCUUGCACCUGGUGGCGAGUGGCGAACGGGUGAGUAAUACAUCGGAACGUACCUUAUCGUGGGGGAUAACGCAGCGAAAGCUGUGCUAAUACCGCAUACGCCCUAAGGGGGAAAGCGGGGGAUCGCAAGACCUCGCGCGAUUAGAGCGGCCGAUGCCUGAUUAGCUUGUUGGUGGGGUAAAAGCCCACCAAGGCGACGAGCAGUAGCUGGUCUGAGAGGACGAUCAGCCACGCUGGGACUGAGAAACGGCCCAGACUCCUACGGGAGGCAGCAGUGGGGAAUUUUGGACAAUGGGGGCAACCCUGAGCCAGCAAUGCCGCGUGAGUGAAGAAGGCCUUCGGGUUGUAAAGCUCUUUUGUCAGGGAAGAAACACCGGCUCUAACACAGUCCGGGAAUGACGGUACCUGAAGAAUAAGCACCGGCUAACUACGUGCCAGCCGCCGCGGUAA
This 501-nucleotide ribosomal RNA is filed under the name uncultured bacterium. RNAcentral's name for it is "partial 16S ribosomal RNA". It matches the Rfam family "Bacterial small subunit ribosomal RNA", at positions 29 to 523 of the family's 1533-position model. The record is from RNAcentral.